CAACUUUUGGCAACGGAUCUCUUGGCUCUCGCAACGAUGAAGAACGCAGCGAAAUGCGAUAAGUAAUGUGAAUUGCAGAAUCUCGUGAAUCAUCGAAUCUUUGAACGCAUCUUGCGCCCGUUAGGGCAUGCCUGUUUGAGUAUCGUUUAAAUCCUCACUC
This 160-nucleotide ribosomal RNA is filed under the name Endochytrium sp. JEL 324. RNAcentral's name for it is "5.8S ribosomal RNA". It matches the Rfam family "5.8S ribosomal RNA". From Rfam's summary of the family: 5.8S ribosomal RNA (5.8S rRNA) is a component of the large subunit of the eukaryotic ribosome. It is transcribed by RNA polymerase I as part of the 45S precursor that also contains 18S and 28S rRNA. The record is from RNAcentral. Lineage: Eukaryota; Fungi; Chytridiomycota; Chytridiomycetes; Cladochytriales; Endochytriaceae.